CUGACCUGGGCCCACUGUCUGGCACUCCCUAGUGAGAUGGACCCGGUACCUCAGAUGGAAAUGCAGAAAUCACCCGUCUUCUGCGUCGCUCCGAAAGAGUGGACCAGGAGGAGUUUUCAGAGGAGUCUGUGAUAGGCGCUUUGUGACUCCAGGACACGUUGAGUAUACGUGAUUGAUGAAACCAAUGGUACAUCUGGAACACUGGCUGAAAUGAAGAAUGGAAAAUGUUAGCUUUCCAGGCCUCCUCAGGCCAGGAAGGCAUACUGGAGAGAUACGGCAGCAGAGUCACACAAGCAAGGCAGCUGGAUUUGUGACAAUGAGAGAAGCGCGGGGUCAAAGAACAUAGAGUGUUUUGAGAACAGUGUCUCCAGAUGAGAGGGAAGAGAACUGAGUCUUGCUACGUUGCCCAGGACUGACUCAAAACUUCUGGGACCAUGCAAGCCUUCUGCUUCCUGAGUAACUGGGGACUACAGGCAUGUACCACCAUGCCGGACUCAAGCAUGUAUUCUAUGUCUGUUUUUUUCUCACAAUAUGUUUUUGAGAUUCAUCCAUGUUGUUGCAUAUAACAAUAGUACAUUGUGCUAUAUUGUUUGGUAAUAUUCCAUAACACAACAUAUUUCCCCAGUUUUUAUUCAUUCUCCUGUAAAUGGACAUUUCGGUCUUUCUUGUUACUGCCUUUUUAGAAUAAGGCUACCAUAGACAUUCUUGCGCAAUUCUUUUUUUGGACUUAUUAUUAAUAUUUCUUUUGGGCAUAAACCUAAAAGUAGAAUUGCUAGUUUAUAGGUUAGAAGUAUACUUAAUUUUAUAACAAACUGCCUAACAGCUCUUGCAAGUGAUUUUACCAUUCUUCACUCCCACAGACAAUGUAGGAAAGUUCCAAUUGUUCCACAUUCUUGCCAACUUCUGGUAUUGUCAGUCUUUUUGAUCUUAUGUAUUGGGUACACAAUGAUGUCGCACUGUGAUUUUAAUUUGUACUUCGCUAAUAUCGAAUAAUGUUAUUUGAUUUUUUAAAUUUAUUUUUAUUUAUUCUUGGUCAUUUUAUAUAUCUUUUCUUGUAAAGCAUCUGUUCAAGUGUUUCCAGUUUUUAAAUAGUGUUGUUACUUUUUCUUAAUUUAAAAGAAUUCUAUACAUAUUUUCCAUGAGUCUUUUGUCAGAGAAAAAAAGUUUUAUAAACUUUUUUCCCCAAAUGUGCCUUAAUUAUUCAUUUUCUUAAUGACAAUGGUGGUGAUUAACUUCAUGUAUCAAUUUGGCUAGGCUAUAACACCCAGAUAUUCAAUCAAAUAUUAACCUAGGUUUUUGUAUUUGUGAAUACAAAUAUACACUGUGUGUAUCUGUGUAGUAUUUUGUAGAUGCAAUUAACAUCCAUCAUCAGUUGAUUUUAAGUAAAGGAGGUAAUGUGUAUGGGUCUCAUCUAAUCAGUUGAAGGCCUUAAGAGCAAAAACUAAGGUUUUCCAAAGAAGGAGAAAUUCUUCCUCCAUACUGUAUAGAAACCCUGCUUGAGUUUCUAUCUCCUCAUCCUGCUACAAACUUUUAAAAUAUUUUAAUUUUAAAAUUUAUAGUGCUCUUAUGACUUUUGCAAUAAAUCUUUGCCUACCCCAUGGUUGCAAAAUUAUUUUUCUAUUUUUCUUUGAGUCUAUGCUUCUGUGUCAGCAAUGUUUUGUUGUCUUUAGUCAUGCAUAUAAUCUAUUAGACUUAUUUAUAAGUAUUUAAUAUUUUUAUAUG
This 1722-nucleotide long non-coding RNA is filed under the name Homo sapiens (human). RNAcentral describes it as "HSALNT0009475". Lineage: Eukaryota; Metazoa; Chordata; Mammalia; Primates; Hominidae. The record is from RNAcentral.